RNAcentral lists this ribosomal RNA (653 nucleotides) under uncultured bacterium. Its description in RNAcentral is "bacterial SSU rRNA". It matches the Rfam family "Bacterial small subunit ribosomal RNA", at positions 202 to 842 of the family's 1533-position model. The record is from RNAcentral.
AAAAGGUGGCUAUGCUACCGCUUUUGGAUGGGCCCGCGGCGCAUUAGCUAGUUGGUGGGGUAAAGGCUUACCAAGGCAAUGAUGCGUAGCCGAACUGAGAGGUUGAUCGGCCACAUUGGGACUGAGACACGGCCCAAACUCCUACGGGAGGCAGCAGUAGGGAAUCUUCCACAAUGGGCGAAAGCCUGAUGGAGCAACGCCGCGUGGGUGAAGAAGGUCUUCGGAUCGUAAAACCCUGUUGUUAGAGGAGAAAGUGCGUGAGAGUAACUGUUCACGUUUCGACGGUAUCUAACCAGAAAGCCACGGCUAACUACGUGCCAGCAGCCGCGGUAAUACGUAGGUGGCAAGCGUUAUCCGGAUUUAUUGGGCGUAAAGGGAACGCAGGCGGUCUUUUAAGUCUGAUGUGAAAGCCUUCGGCUUAACCGGAGUAGUGCAUUGGAAACUGGGAGACUUGAGUGCAGAAGAGGAGAGUGGAACUCCAUGUGUAGCGGUGAAAUGCGUAGAUAUAUGGAAGAACACCAGUGGCGAAAGCGGCUCUCUGGUCUGUAACUGACGCUGAGGUUCGAAAGCGUGGGUAGCAAACAGGAUUAGAUACCCUGGUAGUCCACGCCGUAAACGAUGAAUGCUAAGUGUUGGAGGGUUUCCGCCCUUCA